Molecule: ribosomal RNA, 1693 nt
Filed under: marine metagenome
Description: bacterial LSU rRNA
Rfam family: Archaeal large subunit ribosomal RNA
Source: RNAcentral
GAAGGGGGGUGAAAAGUGCAUGAAAUCUAUUACUUACAGACGUGCAUAGCAUGAAAGGUGAUUUUUCCAGAUUGGAGGUUCUAGCAAUAGAGCUAAAGAUUUGGAGCUCAAAUCGUCAGUGUUAUGCGUUCCGUCUCGAAACACGGGCCAAGGAGCUGACUGUCAUGGCAAGACUAAACCAGACAAGGUGGAGUCGAAGGGAAACCGAGUUCUCGCAGCAUUAGCGAGGAGAAGCGUGUGAAAGUGCGUUGAGUCAUGGCGGCCAGGCUAGAAGCCAGUCGAUCUAAUCCUGAGCAAGCUGAAGGCGGGCGAAAGCCCGCUGGAGGGCUGAAGCAGUUCUGACGUGCAAAUCGUUUGUGUGACUUGGGAUUAGGGGUCAAAAACCAAUCUAGACUGGCGAUUGCUAGUUCCAACCGAAGCGUCUCGUAGGGCGUCCUUAGUGGAGAUAGCGUUUCCUGUAGAGCACUGAUAAGGGAGUAUGGGGAAGAAAUUCCUCGCUCCCCAUUCAAACUCCGAAGGGAUAUGCAUUGUAGAAGCUAGGAGACGGGUUCGUGUGACGUAAGGUUCACGACCGAGAGGGGUUUAACCCAGACCGAAGUUAAGGUCCCUAAAUUUUUUCUAAGUGUCAAGCUAAAGUGUGUGUUCGCGCCAAGACAGCAGGGAGGUAAGCUCAGAAGCAGCUAUCCUUUAAAAAGUGUGUAACAACUUACCUGCCGAGCGUGGGCGCCACAAAAACGGACGGGGCUAAAGAAAAGUACCGAUACUUUGGAUACAUGCCAAUGGGCAUGUCAUGGUAGGUUGGCGUAGUGAUUGGGUCGAAGCAGGGCGGUGACGUCCUGUGGACCAUUUUCUAUUGCAGAUCUUGGCGGCAGUAACAGCAUAGUAGAGUGAGAACCUCUACCACCGCAAGCGCAAGGGUUUCCAGGCAAUGCGUUAUCAGCCUGGAGUUAGUCGAUCCUAAGGAUUACCUCAACAGAGUAAUUCGAAAGGGAAACUGGUUAAUAUUCCAGUACCUUGCAAGUUGCGUUAUUAUCUAUAUGAACCGCUUCCGGAUAGGGGGAGCAUAACCAUCGUUGUGUCUAAGCGUUCGAGAGAUGGGGAGUGUCGUAAUGACGAGAACCAUCUCGAGGCGUUAAUGGCUCUGCGUUAGCAGAGUUCUCUUGAGUCCAGGGGACCUUGAAAAUUUGUGUAGAAAGUGACUUGCAAGCUCGUACCGAGAACCGACACAGGUGCGCUGGCUUAGAAAGCUAAGGUGCUACGGGUAUACCGUAUGGUGAGGGAAUUCGGCAAAUUAGUCCUGUAGCUUAGGUAUAAGGGAUGCCUGCACACUUCAUGAGGAAUGGGGUGAGCAGGUUGCAAUGACAAGGGGGUUUCGACUGUUUAAUAAAAACACAGGCGACUGCUAGUCCGAAAGGAUUUGUAUAGUCGCUGAAUCCUGGCCGGUGCGGGUACCUAAAACUUGGGUUCAACCGAGCUAAGGGCCCGUUAACGCCGGGAGUAACUCUGACUCUCUUAAGGUAGCCAAAUGCCUUGUCGGGUAAGUUCCGACGCGCAUGAAUGGAACAACGAGAGCCCCACUGUCCCCACCUACAACCCGGUGAAGCCACAUAAGGUGGACGAACAGUCCAUCAACUUCCAUCGGGGAGAGAAGACCCCGUGGAGUUUUACUGCAGCUUGUGCUUGUAGUAUAGUA